This 467-nucleotide ribosomal RNA is filed under the name uncultured bacterium. RNAcentral describes it as "partial 16S ribosomal RNA". It matches the Rfam family "Bacterial small subunit ribosomal RNA", at positions 28 to 507 of the family's 1533-position model. The record is from RNAcentral.
GACGAACGCUGGCGGCGUGCUUAACACAUGCAAGUCGAACGGAAAGGCCCUGCUUUUGUGGGGUGCUCGAGUGGCGAACGGGUGAGUAACACGUGAGUAACCUGCCCUUGACUUUGGGAUAACUUCAGGAAACUGGGGCUAAUACCGGAUAGGAGCUCCUGCUGCAUGGUGGGGGUUGGAAAGUUUCGGCGGUUGGGGAUGGACUCGCGGCUUAUCAGCUUGUUGGUGGGGUAGUGGCUUACCAAGGCUUUGACGGGUAGCCGGCCUGAGAGGGUGACCGGCCACAUUGGGACUGAGAUGCGGCCCAGACUCCUACGGGAGGCAACAGUGGGGAAUAUGCACAAUGGGCGGAAGCCUGAUGCAGCAACGCCGCGUGCGGGAUGACGGCCUUCGGGUUGUAAACCGCUUUCGCCUGUGACGAAGCGUGAGUGACGGUAAUGGGUAAAGAAGCACCGGCUAACUACGUG